AAGGAAGGAGAGGCUGUUUCUACAGGUGUCACAGAAAAAAUCGAUACUGAGCCACAGAUUAUUGGAUCCCAUAGAACCGUGGAGACUUGGCAGUGAAAUUCUUCCAAAGG
This 110-nucleotide long non-coding RNA is filed under the name Meriones unguiculatus (Mongolian gerbil). RNAcentral describes it as "Rhabdomyosarcoma 2 associated transcript conserved region 3 (ENSMUGG00000017044.1)". It matches the Rfam family "Rhabdomyosarcoma 2 associated transcript conserved region 3". The record is from RNAcentral. Lineage: Eukaryota; Metazoa; Chordata; Mammalia; Rodentia; Muridae.